CUGCAGAGAGUUAUCCCGCUCUGAGCUGCUGUGCUCUCUGAGGGAGUCGCUCUGCUACAUGAACUCUCUGCGCUGAGCCUCGGCCCUCAGUCAUCUGCUGAGGGUUCAGCUCACCAGAGGACAGCC
This 126-nucleotide small nucleolar RNA is filed under the name Fundulus heteroclitus (mummichog). RNAcentral describes it as "Small nucleolar RNA SNORA56 (ENSFHEG00000000858.1)". The record is from RNAcentral. Lineage: Eukaryota; Metazoa; Chordata; Actinopteri; Cyprinodontiformes; Fundulidae.